UGCAGUCGACGAUGAAGCCCUUCGGGGUGGAUUAGUGGCGAACGGGUGAGUAACACGUGGGCAAUCUGCCCUGCACUCUGGGACAAGCCCUGGAAACGGGGUCUAAUACCGGAUAUGACCAUCUUGGGCAUCCUUGAUGGUGUAAAGCUCCGGCGGUGCAGGAUGAGCCCGCGGCCUAUCAGCUUGUUGGUGAGGUAAUGGCUCACCAAGGCGACGACGGGUAGCCGGCCUGAGAGGGCGACCGGCCACACUGGGACUGAGACACGGCCCAGACUCCUACGGGAGGCAGCAGUGGGGAAUAUUGCACAAUGGGCGAAAGCCUGAUGCAGCGACGCCGCGUGAGGGAUGACGGCCUUCGGGUUGUAAACCUCUUUCAGCAGGGAAGAAGCGAAAGUGACGGUACCUGCAGAAGAAGCGCCGGCUAACUACGUGCCAGCAGCCGCGGUAAUACGUAGGGCGCAAGCGUUGUCCGGAAUUAUUGGGCGUAAAGAGCUCGUAGGCGGCUUGUCACGUCGAUUGUGAAAGCUCGGGGCUUAACCCCGAGUCUGCAGUCGAUACGGGCUAGCUAGAGUGUGGUAGGGGAGAUCGGAAUUCCUGGUGUAGCGGUGAAAUGCGCAGAUAUCAGGAGGAACACCGGUGGCGAAGGCGGAUCUCUGGGCCAUUACUGACGCUGAGGAGCGAAAGCGUGGGGAGCGAACAGGAUUAGAUACCCUGGUAGUCCACGCCGUAAACGGUGGGAACUAGGUGUUGGCGACAUUCCACGUCGUCGGUGCCGCAGCUAACGCAUUAAGUUCCCCGCCUGGGGAGUACGGCCGCAAGGCUAAAACUCAAAGGAAUUGACGGGGCCCGCACAA
This 854-nucleotide ribosomal RNA is filed under the name Streptomyces sp. RNAcentral's name for it is "bacterial SSU rRNA". It matches the Rfam family "Bacterial small subunit ribosomal RNA", at positions 56 to 928 of the family's 1533-position model. The record is from RNAcentral. Lineage: Bacteria; Bacillati; Actinomycetota; Actinomycetes; Kitasatosporales; Streptomycetaceae.